GCCGCGUUGGCGUAGUGGUAGCGCGUCUCACUUGUAUUUAACACAUUUGACAGUCGUGGGAAUAAAUGAGAAGGUCGCUUGCUCAAUCCAGGCACGUGGCA
Molecule: non-coding RNA, 101 nt
Organism: Abortiporus biennis
Lineage: Eukaryota; Fungi; Basidiomycota; Agaricomycetes; Polyporales; Podoscyphaceae
Source: the annotation of a GenBank genome assembly